This 305-nucleotide ribosomal RNA is filed under the name uncultured bacterium. RNAcentral describes it as "bacterial SSU rRNA". It matches the Rfam family "Bacterial small subunit ribosomal RNA", at positions 335 to 638 of the family's 1533-position model. The record is from RNAcentral.
AGCCCUACGGGGGGCAGCAGUGAGGAAUAUUGGUCAAUGGACGCAGGUCUGAACCAGCCAUGCCGCGUGCAGGAUGACGGCUCUAUGAGUUGUAAACUGCUUUUGUACGAGGGUAAACCCCGAUACGUGUAUCGGGUUGAAAGUAUCGUACGAAUAAGGAUCGGCUAACUCCGUGCCAGCAGCCGCAGUAAUACGGAGGAUGCGAGCGUUAUCCGGAUUUAUUGGGUUUAAAGGGUGCGUAGGCGGUCCGGAAAGUCAGCGGUAAAAGCCCGGGGCUCAACCCCGGCGAGCCGUUGAAACUGUCG